This 2574-nucleotide ribosomal RNA is filed under the name Picochlorum sp. SENEW3. Its description in RNAcentral is "bacterial LSU rRNA". It matches the Rfam family "Bacterial large subunit ribosomal RNA", at positions 1 to 2044 of the family's 2925-position model. The record is from RNAcentral. Lineage: Eukaryota; Viridiplantae; Chlorophyta; Trebouxiophyceae.
GAGAGGGCAUAUCGUGGAUGCCUUGACAUAUUGCAUGGGACGUACUCGACAACGAAACGCCAUGGCGAGCUGUCAUGAUGCUGAGACCCAUGGAUUUCCCUGGAGAAAACUCCAUUGAUUUACAUACACCCAGCCAACUGAAACAUCUAAGUAGCUGGAGGAAAAGACAUCAACCGAGAUUUCGUUAGUAGUGGUGAGCGAACGCGAAAUAGGCCCUGUAUACACAUUAUCCAUAGAAUGUGGACUAAAUAGGUGGAAUCCUAUACCAAAGAGGGUGAGAGUCCCGUUGUUCAUACAUGAAACAUUGGUAUACAGUAUAUGAGUACCACGAACAUCCGAGUUUGUGGGAAUAUAGGGGGACCACCCUCUAAGCCUAAAUAUUGCAAUAUGAUCGAUAGUAUAGAGUACCGUGAGGGAAAGGUGAAAAAGUACCCCGAAAGGGGAGUGAAAUAGAUCCUGAAACGGUGUGCCUACAAGCAGUCGAAGCCCGCUAUGUGUAGUGGGUGACGGCGUACCUUUUGCAUAAUGGGUCAGCGAGUAGAUAGAGCGUGCACGCUUAAGCCAGUAGGUGGAGGCCUAGUCAACGCGAGUUGUCACACAACAUAGACAUGUACGUUCUAUCUGACCCGAAACCAGGUGAUCUCGUUAUGUGCCGGUGGAAGAUCUACUAUCCUAGAUCAGAGGACCUCACUCACGUCUGUGGCAAUAGACGGAGAUGACAUGUGACGAGGGGUGAAAAGCCAAUCGAACCUGGAAAUAGCUGGUUUUCUGCGAAAUCUAUUGAGGUAGAGCCCAUUGUACGAUGUAUGGGGGGUAGAGCACUUUUUGGUGACAGGUGGCCCAAAGCUUGACUGUCUCCAGGAAAACUCCAAAUACCCAUACCAUCAUCAAUGGAGACAGACACAGGGUGCAAAGGUCCUGUGUCGAGAGGGAAACAGCCCAGACCGAACGCUAAGGUUCCCAAACCAUAUCUGAGUGGGAAAGGAAGUUUUCACGCUUUGACAACCAGGAAGUAGGCUUGGAAGCAGCCACCUUAUGAUGAUAGCGUAAUAGCUCACUGGUCGAUGCGUGAAAGCGCCAACAAUGUCACGGAGCUCAAGAUAUGUACCGACGCGGCGGCUUAUAGUCAUGUAUACCACAGUGUGGUAUAUCCAUAGAAACUAUAAGGGUAGCAGAACGUUCUGUAUAUUGUAUGAAGGGGGUAUGUGAAUACCCCUGGAGAUUUCAGAAGUGAGAAUGCUGACAUGAGUAACGACAUAUCCUGUGAAAACCAGGAUCGCCGAAAAUUCCAGGGUUUCUACAGUACGGUAUACGGUGUAGAGUCAAUCGGCCCCUAAGGCAGCCGGUGAACACCGUGGGCUGAUGGGUAGUAUGCACUAUGUGACGACAUCGGGAUGUCUAGAUACUGUUUGUGGAACUCAAUAUCUAGACAGACCAUGUCCAGGAAAUAGCAUAGUGCCAUGCAUAUAACCGUACCCCAAACCAACACAGGUGAAUUGGUGUAAGUGCACUCAGGCGAUGAGAUACGUAUAUUGAAGGAACUCGGCAAAUUGCCUCCGUACCUUUGGAAUAUGGAGGACCAUGCAUAUGCAUGGUGGCACAGUAUAGGGGGUAGCGACUGUUUACUAAAAACACAGGACUCUGCCAAGUGGUAACACGACGUAUAGGGUCUGACACCUGCCCGGUGCUGGAUACCGAACAGGACAGGUUCACGCUUGAAAUCGAAGGUCCAGUAAACGGCGGCCGUAACUCUGACGGUCCUAAGGUAUCGUGUGAUGUUCACAGAUCAACGCAAGCCUUAGUAAAACCAAACUAUAUGCUGGAAACUCCUCCAAAACUUUUCAAUACUCAUAUCAGUAUGAUAUAGUAAAAAUUUGAAAGACAUGGGGACAAUCAGCAGGAAAGACGUAUAGAAUCUAUACGAAUCCCCAGAGACGAUACGUUUGGAAACAUAUGACAAUACAACUACAAACACAAUGGAUUGUAGGUUUUGUGGAUGGUGAAGGAUGUUUUCAUAUUGGUAUUUCAAAACAUCCAGAAUGUACCCUUGGAUAUCAAGUACUUCCAGAAUUUACUGUGGUACAACAUGCUCAAGAUGUACAAGUUCUCUAUGCUCUGAAACAUUUUUUUGGGUGUGGUGUUGUACGUCAACACGGUGCUACAACAUGGUGCUAUCGUGUUCGUCAACGAACACAUUUAGAGACCAUGAUUGUACCAUUUUUUGAAAAGCAUACGCUCAAGACAAAAAAACGUCUUGAUUUUAUUCAAUUUCGAAAAGUACUCAUCUGGAUGCAUCGAGGAGACCAUUUAACAUCAGCAGGUUUAGCACGUAUUCGUGAGACUCAACGUCGUAUGAAUACACGAGCACCUGUACUACAUCGCUACUAAUUCACGUGGAGUAAUUCACGUGGAGUAAUUCACGUGGGGCGUAGCACGUCUAUGUUUAAGAUAGAGUCCACCUCUGUAUGAAAAUACAGGGAGUAUGUGAGCGAAAUUCCUUGUCGGGUAAGUUCCGACGUGCAUGAAUGGUGUCACGACUGCCCCGCUGUCUCCAAUAUACACUCAGUGAAAUUG